This 253-nucleotide ribosomal RNA is filed under the name uncultured bacterium. RNAcentral's name for it is "partial 16S ribosomal RNA". It matches the Rfam family "Bacterial small subunit ribosomal RNA", at positions 524 to 776 of the family's 1533-position model. The record is from RNAcentral.
UACGUAGGGGGCUAGCGUUGUCCGGAAUCAUUGGGCGUAAAGAGCGCGUAGGCGGCUAGAUAAGUCCGGUGUGAAAGUCACAGGCUCAACCUGUGAAUGCCGCUGGAAACUGUCUGGCUAGAGUCCGGAAGGGGCGAGUGGAAUUCCUGGUGUAGCGGUGAAAUGCGCAGGUAUCAGGAGGAACACCAAUGGCGAAGGCAGCUCGCUGGGACGGUACUGACGCUGAGGCGCGAAAGCGUGGGGAGCAAACAGG